CAAUAGCGUAUAUUAACGUUGUUGCAGUUAAAAAGCUCGUAGUUGGAUUUCUGGAGGGAGCGUCGGCCCGUAUUUACGAGUGCGUGACGUCUCUGUCCAUCCUUGCGGGAAGGCACGGCAUUGAUUUGUUGUGUCGGAUCGCAUCAUUUACUGUGAAAAAAUUAGAGUGUUCAAAGCAGGCUUUCGCUUGAAUACAUUAGCAUGGAAUAAUAAGAUAGGACUUUGGUGCUAUUUUGUUGGUUGAGCCUAAAGUAAUGAUUAAUAGGGAUAGUUGGGGGCACCUGUAUUGCGUUGUCAGAGGUGAAAUUCUUGGAUUUACGCAAGACAAACAGCUGCGAAAGCAUUUACCAAGGAUGUUUUCAUUA
RNAcentral lists this ribosomal RNA (365 nucleotides) under uncultured eukaryote. RNAcentral describes it as "partial 18S ribosomal RNA". It matches the Rfam family "Eukaryotic small subunit ribosomal RNA", at positions 592 to 975 of the family's 1831-position model. The record is from RNAcentral.